RNAcentral lists this ribosomal RNA (468 nucleotides) under uncultured bacterium. RNAcentral's name for it is "partial 16S ribosomal RNA". It matches the Rfam family "Bacterial small subunit ribosomal RNA", at positions 28 to 507 of the family's 1533-position model. The record is from RNAcentral.
GACGAACGCUGGCGGCGUGCUUAACACAUGCAAGUCGAACGGAAAGGCCCUGCUUUUGUGGGGUGCUCGAGUGGCGAACGGGUGAGUAACACGUGAGUAACCUGCCCUUGACUUUGGGAUAACUUCAGGAAACUGGGGCUAAUACCGGAUAGGAGCUCCUGCUGCAUGGUGGGGGUUGGAAAGUUUCGGCGGUUGGGGAUGGACUCGCGGCUUAUCAGCUUGUUGGUGGGGUAGUGGCUUGCCAAGGCUUUGACGGGUAGCCGGCCUGAGAGGGUGACCGGCCACAUUGGGACUGAGAUACGGCCCAGACUCCUACGGGAGGCAGCAGUGGGGAAUAUUGCACAAUGGGCGGAAGCCUGAUGCAGCAACGCCGCGUGCGGGAUGAAGGCCUUCGGGUUGUAAACCGCUUUCGCCUGUGACGAAGCGUGAGUGACGGUAAUGGGUAAAGAAGCACCGGCUAACUACGUG